RNAcentral lists this ribosomal RNA (502 nucleotides) under Tylos wegeneri. RNAcentral describes it as "partial 12S small subunit ribosomal RNA". Lineage: Eukaryota; Metazoa; Arthropoda; Malacostraca; Isopoda; Tylidae. The record is from RNAcentral.
UCCGCGGUUAGACUCAGGGCUAAAACUAUAGCACUAGGUUGGAGUAAGUAAUCAUCUUAACACCUACUACUUAGCGGUAAAAUGCUUAAGUUGAAGGUUAAUUACCCGAGGCUCUUUACUUACGGCUAUAAACGAGGAUUAGAUACCCUUCUAUACGUAAGGACUAAAACCUAAGGAGUAGCAGCUAUAUUCUGGAAAAUUAAGGGAUAUGGCGGCGCUAGACAUUUUCAGGGGAACCCGCUCCGUAAUCGUCACAACGCGCUUUACCUUACCUCCCUAUGGCUCGUAUACCGUCAUCUAAGCACUUUAAAAACAAAGCGCUAAAUAGGGACACCUAAACGUUAGAUCCAGGUGCGGCUUGGGGGGGGAGAAAGCGGGUUACAAUUUACUAACUAACGGACUUCUCCCGCAGUGGGAAAAGAUAAGCUGGAUUUGAGAGUAAUCGAAUUUUAAUAUACUUCGAUGAAUUUUUCUCUAGCGUGUACAUAUCGUCCGUCGCCCU